CAGCAGCCGCGGUAAUACAGAGGGUGCAAGCGUUAAUCGGAAUUACUGGGCGUAAAGCGCGCGUAGGUGGUUUGUUAAGUUGGAUGUGAAAUCCCCGGGCUCAACCUGGGAACUGCAUCCAAAACUGGCAAGCUAUAGUAUGGUAGAGGGUGGUGGAAUUUCCUGUGUAGCGGUGAAAUGCGUAGAUAUAGGAAGGAACACCAGUGGCGAAGGCGACCACCUGGACUGAUACUGACACUGAGGUGCGAAAGCGUGGGGAGCAAACAGGAUUAGAUACCCCAGUAGUCCCUGUCUCUUAUAA
Molecule: ribosomal RNA, 301 nt
Filed under: uncultured bacterium
Lineage: Bacteria
Description: partial 16S ribosomal RNA
Rfam family: Bacterial small subunit ribosomal RNA
Source: RNAcentral